This is a long non-coding RNA of Camelus dromedarius (Arabian camel), 6014 nucleotides long. RefSeq lists it as uncharacterized. Lineage: Eukaryota; Metazoa; Chordata; Mammalia; Artiodactyla; Camelidae. The transcript is spliced from 3 exons. The record is from RefSeq and is a predicted model, not a curated record.
GGUUCGCCCACCUCGGCUCGGGGCGAUCUCGAGGGGCCGGUUUGACCAUCUGCCUGCCUCGGUACCGAAAGGUCCCUGGAAAAGGCGGAGGGGCUGGUGAGGGGCAGGGCUCUCCUUGCCUCGCCUUGUGAGCUGUAGCUGCUGUGGAAAGAAUCGACUUGAAGAAGACUAGCAGAGAAGCAUGAGACCAGUUGGGAGGCGGCUGCAGUGGUCCAGGUGAGAAGUGAUGCUGGUGGAGCCAAGAGCCACGACAGUGCACAUGAAAAGACUGCUUUGGACUCAGUAAAUAUUUUGGACGGUGUAGCAACAAGACAAACUUCUGUUUUGGGGGGUAAGGAAAAGGGAAUGAUGCUUUCCCUAGCCUGAGUUACUGUGCGAAAUGGGGAAAAGUUUACUGAGAUGGGCGAAGAUGGGGACAGAGAAGCAUUUAUUUCAUUUUGGACGCGUUAAGUUUGUACUGUUUUUGUAACAUCCAAGUGCAGAUAGUGGUUGAGCUGGAUAUGCAAGCCUGUAACUCAGAGAAGUGGUCUGAGUGGGAACAACAAAUACGUAUUGAAAAUCAUGUCAAAAGUGGAUAAUUUUUUAAAAAGACAAUUAGCUGGUGGUAGUGGAGGUAUGAAAUGUCUAUAGGGAAGAAACUGAGAAAAUGAUGUCUGGGGUAGGAACUGGAGAGGUUGUAGGGAAAAUGGAGAGAGGGAAGGAGCGGAAGAAAGGCGGGGAUGGGCUGUGAAUAUGAUUAUGGGAAGGAGGGACAGAAAGCUGGGGCAAAUGGAAUGGAUAUGUCGGUCCCAUCUAUGUGUGGGUACAAGGGCAAGGCCUGCCGGGAUAUGAGGAGUAAUUACAGGGAGAAAAGAAGAGUGGGAGAAUGGAAACACUAGGGAAAGUACAGGACACAAGGGCCAGGGGAAAAGGUGAGAACACAGAUUAACUGUAAUCACAGCUAGAGACCAGCCCAGCAGCUGGAGGUGGCCACAGGGUCAGGGCAGUUCAGAGGUCACAGGGUGAUCCUAGUAUGAGAAAAGAAGGUGGAGGAAUGAGAAGGAAGGUGAGAAUGGAAGGAGGUCCUCAGAACUUGGCCAUGAGGAAAUAGGAUUCUAUUAUUAGACAUAAACCUGAGCAUGAGCUCACAAUGGGCAAAAGUCUGCUUUAAGGCAGGAAUUUUAAACAAAGAUACACAAAAUAUCCUCUGGACAUCUAUGAAGUCCCUGCAGUUGCUCAAAUGGUUUUCUAAGUAUGGCAUUCUUCUGUGGAAAUAGAUAUGGAUGGCUUCUAUCACAUUCUCUAAUCCUGACAUUUAAAAAGAGAGAGAGAAAGAAUAGAAUCUGGUGCAUAGAGCAAGACAGAAGGUAACAUUAUAUAUUAAAAAAAAAAAAAAGGAAUAUGUCAAUCAGAAGGAGGAGGUGAAAAAGAAAGCAUGCAAAGGAGACCAAAAAAGGAGGAGGAGGUGAAGGAGGAGGAGAAGGCAGAGCCUGUCUAAGGGAGAAGGUAUCCACUCUGAUCUAAUCAAGAAGUUGCCCUCUCCACUAAGUGGAAAUGAUGAGAAAAGAACCUGAUGCUAUUAGUCAUUUAAAUCCUGUAACUGCUCCUCAUUCUGACUCACCCACGAAGCAUCCUUCUGAUAAGGAGAUGAAAGAGAGAAGCCGUGGCUGGACCUAUGGGAGGCAGCCGUCCACCUGACAGCUGCUGGUUUUGCGACUGGAACAUCGUGAUGUUUCUGAGCCUGUCAUGAAGCUGAGUGAGGGCUUGAUGCAGGACCAUGGGGAAUUUCAUCCCAACAUCUUCUUGGGAAACUCUCUUCAAAAGUCAGCCAGUUGUCUUCUCCUGGCAGCCCCUCCAAUGCCACGUGUUUGAGAAAUGUCCUGCCUUUCCUACUGGAAGCGUCUCCAGAAGGAACUUUUUCAGUGCUCACAAAUGUGAGCUGUCUCCUUUAUGGGCAGUACGGAGAAGGAUGAAUGAACAAGUGAAACUAAACCGCUCUCACCCUCCACCUGAUGCUCUGUUCCCUGAAACUGCAGAAGCAUUUGGGUUUGCCCCAGGACCACGUCUGCUGGGAAGAAUAAAGAAUCUCCUUUCCCGAGAAGUCAAUGGGAAGAGUUGGGGACUAACAGUACUAAUGGCUAACACUUAAUGAGCCCUUAACUCCCAGCACUACGCACAGUACUUUAUUCUAACUUCCACCAACCACAGUCACACAGCAGCAGAGACAAAAUUUUAACCCAGGAAAUCUGACUUAGGAGCCCUUGGAUUAACCAAUUCACUGUCCUGCUGCUAGAGGCAGAUCUAGAGAUCUAGGGAGCAGUUUUAUACAGGACCUGUCUGCACAGUGGCUUAGGGUUCCAAGAGGAUAAAGGCUAGACCUGCCAGGUGCCUGAGGGCUAAGCCCAGACCUAGGCAUCACUUGUGCUGCAUUCUGUUGGUCAGAAGAAGUUACCAGGCCAGCCCAGGUUCAAGGGAAACACCAAUAGAUUCCACGUCUAGGUGAGAGAAAAGGCAGGAGAUUGAGAACAUGAUUAACCUGCCACAUCCAUUAUAUCAUAUUCCAUUUUACAGCCAAUUUAUGACUUAGAAGGUAUCUAACUGGUGAGAUUCCGUGGCUACUUCAGCUAUGGGUGGUGUGAAAUGCACCAUGGUAAAACACAGGGUUCAAAUCCUCAUUUCAGUGCUGACUUGCUAGACGACCCUCGGGCAAGUUAUUAAACCUUUCUUCCCUUCCUUUCUUCAUCUCUAAAAUGAGGGGCAGUAACGUCUAACUUGCCAGGGUAAUUCAGAGAAUCAGAGAGAAUGCAAGGAAAAUGCUAGUGCCUGGGAGAUGAGAUGGCUAAGCGGUCCUGUAACACUGUUGUUACUAGAUUUCUUGUCUUUCUUCUUAAGUAAGGUAACAGGACUGGUAAUAGAGUGAUUUAUUCUCCCUGUCAUGGGAACACCCAGCAGACCUCUAGAAUUGCCUGCCCCCCCCCUGGAAACCUCAGCAAUUAUGCAGUAGAGUUGGGGCAUGGCCUUGUGAAUUUGUUCAACCUUUUGGAAAGCACUUUAGUAAUCAUUAGCAAGAGUCAUAAAAAGCGUUCAUAUCCUUUGACCCAAUUACUAGAUUUCAAGAAAAUUAUCCUCAGGGAACUGAUUCAAAAGAAAAGCAAAAUCCAUAUACAUCGAGUUCUUCGUUGCCUUUUCUCUAGAGCAACUAAAAAUAAACAGUUUAAAUGUCCAACAGUAAGUGAAUGGUUAGCUAAAUUACGAUCAAAUGAAUAUUUGUCAGAAUAUUAUAUGACUCCUAAAAUGACAAUUAUUAUCACUACAUGACAGUAUGGGAAAAAAAUUUAAUGAAUUGCUAAGUGACAAAUUCAGAAUUCAAAAAUUUCUCUACAAUAAACAGCUAGAGCAAGACAAUGAAAAAUUUUGUUAGUGUUUGGAAAGUGGUCUUGAAAUUGAUUUAUCUUCUUUAAAAAUAUUCUUUAUUAUUUUACAUCCAAAUCAGAAGAAAAAUUUGGGCAAGGCCAUAUGGGAAAGUGAUUUAUUUAAAAAAAGAAGGGCAUAUAAUAAGUGCCAGAGAAUACACUGCAGAGCUUUUAAACAUACAAGUGCUUAAGCUGCUCCCUGGAGAUUCUAAUUCAGGAGGUCCCAGAUAGGGCCCAGCCACUGGUAUUUUUUCAGAGCUCCACAAAUGAUUUUGACACGAGACUGAGACUCACUGAGCUGAGCACUCACCAUUAUCCUUUCAAAUGAUCUAAUAUAAACACUCUGUCUGAUCAGAAAUAGCAAUACAAAAGAAACUUACAUAGUUAGAACUCUUUUUCCCUAAUACAGUUUGUUCCUACGUGUGGGCCUUUUCCAUUUCCAAGUAUUUAGUUGUGCUGUGAUAAAUCUGUAGCCUCUGUAUAUAAUCCAGAACACAGAAAGAACAGCUUUUGAUAAACAUGUGUGGUUCUGUACAAUGUAAGGAAAAAACAUGACAUAAGAGCUGAUGGCCUGGGUUUAGCAGAAAGAGUAAUAGCAGGAAAAAAAAAAUCUCAUCUCCAUAUCAGUCAGAAGAUAUUGACAGGAUUUCAAGGACGGCCUCCCACUGUGACCAGCUGUGGCCCUUUCCUGAGGAAUAGAAGUAGUGGAUAGUCUCAUGAAAUUGAAUAUGCAUAUUUUUCUUUCUUCUUAUAAUGGUAGCAUUAACCCAUAGGGAGUUAUUGUUAAAGACUGAAGAGCAGGAACAGAAAAAACCAGAGUCUUGUUCUACCCAGCUUAGCAUCCACAGAAUCUAGUGAGAGACAGUAGAUUCUCUGAGAAAAUCCUGGAACUGACCGAUUUUCACGAUAGUUUCCUGAGACCAUCAUUGCCCAAAGUGAGCUCUCUGUAAAAAGCAGUUAGUUCCUCAGAAGGCUGAAAGGUAUUGCUUGAAAAGGGAUUCCAUGAUGAAAUAAUUUUGGAAUGCAGGAUUUAACCAAGCUAGAGAGGUUUCUUUGUAGGGCCUCUUGGGGGCUUUUUGAAUCUCUGAGAAAGAAUUAUAGUAUGAAAUAUGAAAUUUCCUUGAUGAAACACACCUUGCAAAACACUUCUAUAGACAUGUGAUUUCCAGUUAAAGCAAAAUAAAUGUUGAUUCUUAAAUCAAGGAAAAUUAAUACAGGAUAUUUUGACCCUAGAUUUACAUUACUAAAUGUGCAUAUUCCACCUAAGGAAAACUAACUUUUACUUGAAAAUUAAGAUACAGAAUAUCUAAAAAAAUUCAAGAGCCUCUCCAGACAAAUCCUUAGAACUAAUGAAAGGGUUGACUAAAGUUCCCAGACAUAAGAAACUUGCGGGGGGAAAAAAAAAGCAAACAAUUAGAAAAUUUAAUUUUAAAAAUACCGUCCAUAAUAAGGGCCAAAAUCUGUAAGCUGUAUAGAAAUAAGUCUAAUAAAACAGGGUCAAACUUGCCUGGAGGAAAAUUAAAACCUUUAUUGAAAGACAUAAAAGGAUUUCUAAACAAAUGGAGUAAUGAUACCAUGUUUGUGGUUGGGGAGACUCAAUGUGAUAAAGAUGUAAUAGUUCUCCAUCUUUCACUUCCCUUGCUUCCUAAUUAAGACAUACUUCUCAUCCUUUCAUUCUCUUGUUUCUUGCAACGUCCAAAAGCAAAGAUGGUAGCAGCUCUUUCGUUAUCAGAAUGUCUUCUGCCUGUCUCAGCAAACUUCUAGUGAGGCACGUUUUAGGCCUCUAUCUACAGAUGCCCAGUGAUAUCCUGGUGGUUGUUCUUAAGGUUUCCAGUAUAAUACACAAGGUCUUAAAGCAUAUUCAGGUAAUAUGAAAUUCUAUGAAGGGCCUAUGCAAUUUGUUUGUGAUUUCUGAUCGCUAGAUAUAUCUCUCUCUUGUUGGUUUUUGGAGUUUUUUGGUUUUUCUUUUUGUUUUUUAAUGGAAGUACUGGGGAUUGAACCCAAGACCUUGGGCAUGCUAAGUGUGUGCUCUACCACAGAGCUAUUACCCUCCCCCUAGAUAGAUAUCUCCUUGGAUACCUGAGCUAGAAAGGGCUUUUCUUGUAUUCAAAACUGCCCAAUUUAAUUUACUAAAUGGGGUGCAGUAGAGGUAAACAAAGGUAGCUUCCUGGCUCACAACAAUACUCCUAGUGGCCACAUUUGUGCUACAUUUCCCCUGAUAACAGACUCAACCCCAAGUCACAGAAAUGGGCAAGCAAUCCCACCUGGGGCAAUUAUAACACCUCAUUCCUCUGGCCUACAGUUGGACCAGUGGUAGACACAUGACCCAAGCUGGACCAGGAGGGAGGGAUAAAGCUAACAGGAAAAGAGCAGAAGAGAUAAGAGACUGAUAAUUUUUGAACCCCUGGUUCUAGUCAUCCCUGCUUUUUCAUGGGUUGAGGAUAUAAGCCAAUAAAAGUCCCCCCUUUUGCUUAAAUUAGCUCAAUAUGGCUUUCUGUCUCUUGUAACCAAAGAAUCUCCACAACAUGUAAGCAGGUGGAUGCUUCUAUGCAUAAAUUUCCCAGGCUGCUACUAAUGCAGUCAGAGAUGAUUCAGGGAAGCAGAAACACUACAAGUUCUGGA